AGGGUUUGAUCCUGGCUCAGAUUGAACGCUGGCGGCAUGCUUUACACAUGCAAGUCGAACGGCAGCACGGGNGGNNCAACCCUGGUGGCGAGUGGCGAACGGGUGAGUAACGCAUCGGAACAUAUCUUAAAGUGGGGAAUAACGCAUCGAAAGGUGUGCUAAUACUCCAUAUACUCUANGGAGGAAAGCGGGGGAUCGAAAGACCUCGUGCUUUAAGAGUGGCCGAUGUCUGAUUAGCUAGUUGGUAAGGUAAAGCUUAACCAAGGCGACGAUCAGUAGCUGGUCUGAGAGGACGAUCAGCNACACUGG
This 309-nucleotide ribosomal RNA is filed under the name uncultured Nitrosomonas sp. Its description in RNAcentral is "bacterial SSU rRNA". It matches the Rfam family "Bacterial small subunit ribosomal RNA", at positions 8 to 316 of the family's 1533-position model. Lineage: Bacteria; Pseudomonadati; Pseudomonadota; Betaproteobacteria; Nitrosomonadales; Nitrosomonadaceae. The record is from RNAcentral.